GAUUGUAUUAAAGCUCUCUGAUUGGUUAUAGAUGUUUUAUUUGAAUCAAUCAGAGAGCUUUAAUACAAUCAUCCAAUCAGGAGACAGAGUCGGGAUCUGACCCUAAUUCAAACUGAUUGGCGCGGCUCGAUGAAUCAAUUGCCGCUUUCAACCAGAGGUUUAUUUUUCCUCUCCCCUUCGUAAUGAUAAUAAUAAAAAUAAACCUCUGGAACCAGGGUAGACAGGUGCCACAAAACUUUUGAAUUUCAACAAACGUCAAUCCCCCGCCCCCUGCUCAAUGUUGUGUCCCAUUUAUCGUCAGGUUUGAUGUGUUUUGGUUGGAGCAACAUUGAUUGGGGUGGGGGAGGGGGAGGGGAGCAGUAUUGUGUGUAAAAAACUGUAGUGAUCCACUUACAAUCUAAAACUACAUGUGUCCCAACAACUUCUGAAAGUGAUUGUAG
Molecule: non-coding RNA, 440 nt
Organism: Paramuricea clavata
Lineage: Eukaryota; Metazoa; Cnidaria; Anthozoa; Malacalcyonacea; Plexauridae
Source: the annotation of a GenBank genome assembly